RNAcentral lists this ribosomal RNA (910 nucleotides) under uncultured bacterium. RNAcentral describes it as "bacterial SSU rRNA". It matches the Rfam family "Bacterial small subunit ribosomal RNA", at positions 33 to 928 of the family's 1533-position model. The record is from RNAcentral.
ACGCUGGCGGCGUGCCUAAUACAUGCAAGUAGAACGCUGAAGGAGGAGCUUGCUUCUCCGGAUGAGUUGCGAACGGGUGAGUAACGCGUAGGUAACCUGCCUGGUAGCGGGGGAUAACUAUUGGAAACGAUAGCUAAUACCGCAUAAGAGUAGAUGUUGCAUGACAUUUGCUUAAAAGGUGCAAUUGCAUCACUACCAGAUGGACCUGCGUUGUAUUAGCUAGUUGGUGGGGUAACGGCUCACCAAGGCGACGAUACAUAGCCGACCUGAGAGGGUGAUCGGCCACACUGGGACUGAGACACGGCUCAGACCCCUACGGGAGGCAGCAGUAGGGAAUCUUCGGCAAUGGACGGAAGUCUGACCGAGCAACGCCGCGUGAGUGAAGAAGGUUUUCGGAUCGUAAAGCUCUGUUGUAAGAGAAGAACGAGUGUGAGAGUGGAAAGUUCACACUGUGACGGUAUCUUACCAGAAAGGGACGGCUAACUACGUGCCAGCAGCCGCGGUAAUACGUAGGUCCCGAGCGUUGUCCGGAUUUAUUGGGCGCAAAGCGAGCGCAGGCGGUUAGAUAAGUCUGAAGUUAAAGGCUGUGGCUUAACCAUAGUACGCUUUGGAAACUGUUUAACUUGAGUGCAAGAGGGGAGAGUGGAAUUCCAUGUGUAGCGGUGAAAUGCGUAGAUAUAUGGAGGAACACCGGUGGCGAAAGCGGCUCUCUGGCUUGUAACUGACGCUGAGGCUCGAAAGCGUGGGGAGCAAACAGGAUUAGAUACCCUGGUAGUCCACGCCGUAAACGAUGAGUGCUAGGUGUUAGACCCUUUCCGGGGUUUCGUGUCGCAGCUAACGCAUUAAGCACUCCGCCUGGGGAGUACGACCGCAAGGUUGAAACUCAAAGGAAUUGACGGGGCCCGCACAA